This 434-nucleotide ribosomal RNA is filed under the name uncultured Pseudobutyrivibrio sp. Its description in RNAcentral is "partial 16S ribosomal RNA". It matches the Rfam family "Bacterial small subunit ribosomal RNA", at positions 341 to 792 of the family's 1533-position model. The record is from RNAcentral. Lineage: Bacteria; Bacillati; Bacillota; Clostridia; Lachnospirales; Lachnospiraceae.
ACGGAAGGCAGCAGUGGGGAAUAUUGCACAAUGGGCGAAAGCCUGAUGCAGCGACGCCGCGUGAGCGAAGAAGUAUUUCGGUAUGUAAAGCUCUAUCAGCAGGGAAGAUAAUGACGGUACCUGACUAAGAAGCACCGGCUAAAUACGUGCCAGCAGCCGCGGUAAUACGUAUGGUGCAAGCGUUAUCCGGAUUUACUGGGUGUAAAGGGAGCGUAGGCGGUUUUACAAGUCUGAUGUGAAAGCCCGGGGCUCAACUCCGGUACUGCAUUGGAAACUGUAGAACUAGAGUGUCGGGGGGGUAAGUGGAAUUCCUAGUGUAGCGGUGAAAUGCGUAGAUAUUAGGAGGAACACCAGUGGCGAAGGCGGCUUACUGGACGAUUACUGACGCUGAGGCUCGAAAGCGUGGGGAGCAAACAGGAUUAGAUACCCUGGUA